RNAcentral lists this ribosomal RNA (518 nucleotides) under uncultured Ceriporiopsis. RNAcentral describes it as "SSU rRNA". It matches the Rfam family "Eukaryotic small subunit ribosomal RNA", at positions 214 to 733 of the family's 1831-position model. Lineage: Eukaryota; Fungi; Basidiomycota; Agaricomycetes; Polyporales; Polyporaceae. The record is from RNAcentral.
AUAAAAAACCAACGCGGUUCGCCGCUCCCUUGGUGAUUCAUAAUAACUUACGAAUCGCAUGGCCUUAUGCCGGCGAUGCCUUCAUUCAAAUAUCUGCCCUAUCCAACUUUCGAUGGAAGGAUAGAGGCCUACCAUGGUUUCAACGGGUAACGGGGAAUAAGGGUUCGAUUCCGGAAAGGGAGCCUGAGAAACGGACCACAUCCAAGGAAGGCAGCAGGCGCGCAAAUUACCCAAUCCCGACACGGGGAGGUAGUGACAAUAAAUAACGAUAUAGGGCUCUUUUGGGUCUUAUAAUUGGAAUGAGUCCAAUUUAAAUCUCUUAACGAGGAACAAUUGGAGGGCAAGUCUGGCCAGCAGCCGCGGAAUUCCAGCUCCAAUAGCGUAAUAUUAAAGUUGUUGCAAGUUAAAAAGCUCGUAGUUCAACUUCCAGACCUGGCUGGGCGGUCCGCCUAACGGUUUGUACUGUCUGGCUGGGUCUUACCUUCUUGGUGAGCCGGCAUGCCCUUACUGGGUGUGUC